AGGGACCGGGAGGGGAGCGGGGACAGCGCGGGGUGAGGCGUUGCGCCUCUCAUCGGGCCCCGCCGCCAGCGUGAGGCUCCGGCUCCGCUGAUCCCAGAGGGAUGUAGGAAGCUGCCGGGAAGGAGGAGGUUCCCACUUCAUGAUCCCAGAGGGAUGUAGGAGGCUGCUGGGAAGGAGGAGGUUCCCAUUCGGUGAUCCCAGAGGGAUGUAGGAAGCUGCCGGGAAGGAGGAGGUUCCCAUUCGGUGAUCCCAGAGGGAUGUAGGAAGCUGCCGGGAAGGAGGAGGUUCCCAUUCAGUGAUCCCAGAGGGAUGUAGGAAGCUGCCGGGAAGGAGGAGGUGGGUUCCACGGUGCCGUCCUGUGGGGUUUGUGUCCCCCAUUCCUCCCUUGUCAUCAUAAUUAGCCUAAUUCUGUGUAAUUACCUCAGCCAAACCCCUUCAGUCCCCAAACAAGAGUCUCUGGGGGAUGAAAUCCCACUGGAAAGUGGCCACGUGGGGCCGUGCCCAGGCUGGUUCAUGCUCCUUGGGACAGGUUGAGGUGACACCGUGGUGCCAAGGCCUUGCUCCCUGGCUGUUCCCUUGUCACCCCUCACUCUGGGUGCUGUCCUGGGGGGGUUGUGUCCCCCACUCCCCCCUUGUCAUCGUAAUUAUCUAAUUCUGUGUAAUUGGUUCUCCUAAACCCCACCGCAAAGGCUUUGUCCCCUCGUUCACCACCAGAGGAGUCUCUGAGGGCUUCAGUCCCAGGGGAGAGCUGGGACCUGGGGGCACAGGGACCCCCCCAGCCCCGGCCCUUCAUCCCGGGGGGGUUUCUUCAUUCCUUGGGGCAAGCCUUCCAGCGUGGGGGGGCCUGGGGUGGCCCCCACCAUUCCUACAGCGCUUGC
This is a long non-coding RNA of Calidris pugnax (ruff), 878 nucleotides long. RefSeq lists it as uncharacterized. NCBI's taxonomy places the organism in Eukaryota, Metazoa, Chordata, Aves, Charadriiformes, Scolopacidae. The record is from RefSeq and is a predicted model, not a curated record. The transcript is spliced from 6 exons.